UGCUAUUUUUAUUCUUGAUAGCAUUUCUAAUAUUUUUUCAUAAUUUUCUUUACACAGUUUGCACUAAAUAGUGGUUUUAUUUUUGUACUGGAUAGAGAUAAAUUACACAGAAAUGAAAAACCAAUAUAUCAUCACAUAAGAGUCUGGUUGGGAUCUACAGAAUACAGAUUAAAGGGCAAAAAGUGCAGAGUAAUGCGCGAAAGAUGUAGAGAGAAAAAAAUGAUAAAAUUAUAACGCAGAGAUAACUGGAUAUUGAAAUUUAAGAAUUGAGAAUAAUGGGCAAAAAAACUAAAAAAAACUAAACAAGGGUGAUAAAGGCAGAAAAAAAAUUAAGAAUAUAGAAAUGAAAGGUACCCAGUUAAGACCAUCUCUCAUGUCAUCCCUGCCACUGCCAGUAGGAUUAUGGACUCAGUAGCAGAUUUUGUUAUUUAUAUAUCAAGUAUAUUUUCAAGGAUAAUAUAAAAAAAAAAUAUGCGGUAUGAUUGCCAAGGA
This 492-nucleotide long non-coding RNA is filed under the name Mytilus galloprovincialis (Mediterranean mussel). Lineage: Eukaryota; Metazoa; Mollusca; Bivalvia; Mytilida; Mytilidae. The record is from RNAcentral.